AGUGAACGCUGGCGGUAGGCCUAACACAUGCAAGUCGAACGGCAGCACAGUAAGAGCUUGCUCUUACGGGUGGCGGGUGGCGGGCGGGUGAGGAGUACAUCGUACUCUACUUUUUCGUGGGGGAUAACGUAGGGAAGGUUACGCUCAUACCGCAUACGCCCUACGGUUGAAAGCAGGGGAUCUUCGGACCUUGCGCGAUUGAAUGAGCCGCUGUCGGAUUAGCUAGUUGGCGGGGUAAAGGCCCACCAAGGCGACGAUCCGUAGCUGGUCUGAGAGGAUGAUCACCCACACUGGAACGGAGACACGGUCCAGACGCCUACGGUAGGCAGCAGUGUGGAAUAUUGGACAAUGGUCGCAAGCCUGAUACAGCGAUACCGCGUGGGUGACGAAGGCCUUCGGGUUGUAAAGCCCUUCUGUUGGGAAAGAAAAGCAGCAGGCUAAUACCCCGCUGUUCUGACGGUACCCAAAGAAUAAGCACCGGCUAACUUCGUG
This 492-nucleotide ribosomal RNA is filed under the name uncultured bacterium. RNAcentral describes it as "partial 16S ribosomal RNA". It matches the Rfam family "Bacterial small subunit ribosomal RNA", at positions 29 to 507 of the family's 1533-position model. The record is from RNAcentral.